RNAcentral lists this ribosomal RNA (506 nucleotides) under uncultured bacterium. Its description in RNAcentral is "partial 16S ribosomal RNA". It matches the Rfam family "Bacterial small subunit ribosomal RNA", at positions 29 to 523 of the family's 1533-position model. The record is from RNAcentral.
AGUGAACGCUGGCGGUAGGCCUAACACAUGCAAGUCGAACGGCAGCACAGAGGAGCUUGCUCCUUGGGUGGCGAGUGGCGGACGGGUGAGGAAUACAUCGGAAUCUACUCUGUCGUGGGGGAUAACGUAGGGAAACUUACGCUAAUACCGCAUACGACCUACGGGUGAAAGCAGGGGACCUUCGGGCCUUGCGCGAUUGAAUGAGCCGAUGUCGGAUUAGCUAGUUGGCGGGGUAAAGGCCCACCAAGGCGACGAUCCGUAGCUGGUCUGAGAGGAUGAUCAGCCACACUGGAACUGAGACACGGUCCAGACUCCUACGGGAGGCAGCAGUGGGGAAUAUUGGACAAUGGGCGCAAGCCUGAUCCAGCCAUACCGCGUGGGUGAAGAAGGCCUUCGGGUUGUAAACUGCUUUUGUACGGAACGAAAAGACUCUUUCUAAUAAAGAGGGUCCAUGACGGUACCGUAAGAAUAAGCACCGGCUAACUACGUGCCAGCAGCCGCAGUAA